RNAcentral lists this long non-coding RNA (336 nucleotides) under Brachypodium distachyon (stiff brome). RNAcentral's name for it is "long non-coding RNA (BDIS_LNC000565)". The record is from RNAcentral. Lineage: Eukaryota; Viridiplantae; Streptophyta; Magnoliopsida; Poales; Poaceae.
CGUGCGCGGAACGUGUCGAUGGGCCAGCUCGGUGGGUGGGCCGGUGGGGGUAGGGAAACAUAACCGGACGCACGGAAAGGGCCAGUUGGCCGCACGCAAGCCAAUAUGGGCCGUUGUAUGCUGGGGGUCGUACGUACAUGAGAGCAAAUCGUAAUUUGCUGCGCCUGCGGUACGUUGGGUGCCUUUGGGUACUGUAAUCGUGCAAUCCACGGGUACAGCCCCUGCAACUUGGUUCUCAGAAAAAAAAAAUCUAAAACAAAAGGUUCUCAGAAAAAAAAAGUUCCACACAGGCGAUCGAUCUCCUCGGAAACUGCUGGAUCGUGCCACAAACAGCAC